RNAcentral lists this ribosomal RNA (117 nucleotides) under uncultured bacterium. RNAcentral's name for it is "partial 16S ribosomal RNA". It matches the Rfam family "Bacterial small subunit ribosomal RNA", at positions 355 to 471 of the family's 1533-position model. The record is from RNAcentral.
UGGGGAAUAUUGCACAAUGGGCGCAAGCCUGAUGCAGCGACGCCGCGUGCGGGAUGGAGGCCUUCGGGUUGUAAACCGCUUUUGUUCAAGGGCAAGGCACGGUCUUUGGCCGUGUUG